AAAUUGAAGAGUUUGAUCAUGGCUCAGAUUGAACGCUGGCGGCAGGCCUAACACAUGCAAGUCGAACGGUAACAGGAAGCAGCUUGCUGCUUCGCUGACGAGUGGCGGACGGGUGAGUAAUGUCUGGGAAACUGCCUGAUGGAGGGGGAUAACUACUGGAAACGGUGGCUAAUACCGCAUAACGUCGCAAGACCAAAGAGGGGGACCUUCGGGCCUCUUGCCAUCAGAUGUGCCCAGAUGGGAUUAGCUUGUUGGUGAGGUAACGGCUCACCAAGGCGACGAUCCCUAGCUGGUCUGAGAGGAUGACCAGCCACACUGGAACUGAGACACGGUCCAGACUCCUACGGGAGGCAGCAGUGGGGAAUAUUGCACAAUGGGCGCAAGCCUGAUGCAGCCAUGCCGCGUGUAUGAAGAAGGCCUUCGGGUUGUAAAGUACUUUCAGCGGGGAGGAAGGUGUUGCGGUUAAUAACCGCAGCAAUUGACGUUACCCGCAGAAGAAGCACCGGCUAACUCCGUGCCAGCAGCCGCGGUAAUACGGAGGGUGCAAGCGUUAAUCGGAAUUACUGGGCGUAAAGCGCACGCAGGCGGUCUGUCAAGUCGGAUGUGAAAUCCCCGGGCUCAACCUGGGAACUGCAUUCGAAACUGGCAGGCUUGAGUCUUGUAGAGGGGGGUAGAAUUCCAGGUGUAGCGGUGAAAUGCGUAGAGAUCUGGAGGAAUACCGGUGGCGAAGGCGGCCCCCUGGACAAAGACUGACGCUCAGGUGCGAAAGCGUGGGGAGCAAACAGGAUUAGAUACCCUGGUAGUCCACGCCGUAAACGAUGUCUACUUGGAGGUUGUGCCCUUGAGGCGUGGCUUCCGGAGCUAACGCGUUAAGUAGACCGCCUGGGGAGUACGGCCGCAAGGUUAAAACUCAAAUGAAUUGACGGGGGCCCGCACAAGCGGUGGAGCAUGUGGUUUAAUUCGAUGCAACGCGAAGAACC
This 980-nucleotide ribosomal RNA is filed under the name Salmonella enterica. RNAcentral's name for it is "bacterial SSU rRNA". It matches the Rfam family "Bacterial small subunit ribosomal RNA", at positions 1 to 970 of the family's 1533-position model. Lineage: Bacteria; Pseudomonadati; Pseudomonadota; Gammaproteobacteria; Enterobacterales; Enterobacteriaceae. The record is from RNAcentral. RNAcentral also lists the same sequence under 6 other names.